This 76-nucleotide transfer RNA is filed under the name Danaus plexippus plexippus. It matches the Rfam family "tRNA". From Rfam's summary of the family: Transfer RNA (tRNA) molecules are approximately 80 nucleotides in length. Their secondary structure includes four short double-helical elements and three loops (D, anti-codon, and T loops). Further hydrogen bonds mediate the characteristic L-shaped molecular structure. tRNAs have two regions of fundamental functional importance: the anti-codon, which is responsible for specific mRNA codon recognition, and the 3' end, to which the tRNAs corresponding amino acid is attached (by aminoacyl-tRNA synthetases). tRNAs cope with the degeneracy of the genetic code in two manners: having more than one tRNA (with a specific anti-codon) for a particular amino acid; and 'wobble' base-pairing, i.e. permitting non-standard base-pairing at the 3rd anti-codon position. Lineage: Eukaryota; Metazoa; Arthropoda; Insecta; Lepidoptera; Nymphalidae. The record is from Rfam by way of RNAcentral.
AACACGAUAGUUUAGCUGGUAAGAAAAACAUAACGGCAUGUUUUAGAAGAUGUGGGUUCGAGUCCCGCUCGUGUUG